RNAcentral lists this small RNA (317 nucleotides) under Arabidopsis thaliana (thale cress). RNAcentral's name for it is "ATSL032880". Lineage: Eukaryota; Viridiplantae; Streptophyta; Magnoliopsida; Brassicales; Brassicaceae. The record is from RNAcentral.
AAUUUCAAAUUCAUUUCAGGUUCUAAUAGAUAGGGAAUGGCAUCAGAUAAGCGAGUUUCGAUCAAAGUAGUAUAGUCAAGUUACAAAUUCAAAGCAGGGUGCGGUCUUACUUCAGAGAUACAAUCGGUUAUGCAAUAGAGAACUAACAACCUUGGCAUUGAACUUACUUCAUUGAAUCAAAACAUGCUUAUCGGUUUGAAAUCAUCAUUAUCCCCUAUGCAAAUGAGCAAUCCUAAACGCAAACACUCUAUAUACAAUCCUAAAAUGAAAUGCAAUCUACAUGACACUCUGAUUUUGAUGAAAUCAUUUUCUGAAAA